UGCAGGAAAGGACGACCUGGUAACCCUAUACACCGAUGAAGGGGCAACGGACGUCAAUGGGGUCAGAUGUCUACGUUGACGUCUGUCAUAGUAGAAGAUCAUUUCCGCUGAACACGUUGCUCAUUCUUAUCGAACCAUUGUGAAAGGUAGACCAUAAGUGCACACUGAAGAUACCGAUAUCGAAGUAAAAUCUAUUGAAUUUGUGACAAAGUUAAUACUCAAAAGGUAGUGAAAAAUUAUCAUUUUAAUGUCCAUUUCUAAUAAUUUGUGAAUUCGUAGAGUGUAGUUGGGGAAAGUUAUACAUCCAGUAGCUGAAUUGCAGUUCUUAGUUCCAGAAAUUGAGGUUGGUGAAGGUUAGGUUUGGCCAGUUAAUAGUUGUAAAACCCGAUUAAAUCCGUAGCUCGCGUCCCAGUGAAGUGGCCCAAUCCGUCCGUUGUCGAAGUAGCUGAAAAGAGAAGAUACCUGAAAAGAAACCUGAAAAGAAAAGUAAAUUAAAAUUAAUUAAAAGUUUAACAGUAUAACGAAUAAUAUUUAACAGUAUUCUGCAGUUUUCGGUGCUGGGAAUCGACACGUGGGGUGAGCGAGCUAAGGCCCACCGAAUUGUAAGCCAUUACAAGAUAUUCAUUUGUAUUUGGGAUUAAGUGUACUUACCAUUUUGUUUAAUUUUUAGUUGAAGCUUACAUAAUACAUAGUUCGCUGUCAAAACGGAACGCUUUUUCUUCGCACCCCGCCCCCUCGACAAACCUUCAAAAUUCGUGUGCAAUGGCAGGACAACACGACGACCGCCCUACGGGGGGCUGCAUUGGCUGUCAGCGACCGGAUGAGGUGGAAGACAUGGUCCAGUGCGACCAUUGCGACGUGUGGAGCCAUUACACUUGCGCGGGGGUGGACGAGAACAUCGCCAACCACUCUUGGGUUUGCGGCCACUGCACUGGCCGGCAAAGCGACGAUGCUAUCACCGUACAUAGUGCGUCCAGUCACCGUAGUACGUCGUCGGUGUUCUCCGUUUGUUUGAGUCAGAUGGUGGAACGACAACAGCUCGAACGCACCCGUAUGGAGAUAGAGCUACAGCGCCGUCAUUUGGAUGAGCAGCAACAGCUUAUCGACAAGGUGCUCGACGGAGCCGAUGCGAAGGGAAAUCGCGAUGAUGGUUUCCCAUGCGAAGAGACCAAUGCGUUAACUUCGCCGUCGUCCAACAAGCGACUCAAAACGCCACCUCCUCCUGGCGCUCCUCUAGUACCGAAACCCCGCCGGUCAUUGCCACCGACUGAGACACCGAGGACAACCGCACCGGUUGUGGUUUCUAUUCCUCUCUCGGUGCUCGAACCAGGUACCGUAGAAUCUUUGAAGCGCAAGAAAGAUCCCCAAGUGGCUAUGAAGGAGCUCAAGAAACGGGUUGAGCAGUGCGAGCAGCGCGCCAAUCCUACUCCUGAACAACUUGCCGAUCUCCAAGCCCAAUUGGAAAUGUGCCGAAAGCUUCUGGAACGUUUCCAGGCCAACAAGCAACCCGCUGAGCGGGGUCAACAAGCGGAGCCAUCUCAGCCGAAUCCAGCGGCGGAAAUAUCGGGUGUGCAGAAACCUACCGGCACCAUUCCGAAAGCGAGCCGGACAUUACCAACGAUUCCGGAUGAGUCCGGAGCAGUUGGUGGAGCAUUUCGGCCGGAUCAUGUCUGGCCACUUAAGGUCCCGGUAAGCCAAACGGGUUCCUUUUCGGUAAGUCAACCAAAUGCUCCGUUGCGCCCGAUGGAGAAUCCAGGUAAGCGUCAAGCCUUGAGUAAAUUCCUAGAAAAUACGAACCAACAUGACAUUAGCUAUUGCCCCACGACCAACAUUCCAACUUCCCGUGUGCAGCUGCGAAACGACGCGCGCCCGGAAGAAAGACAGACUCCUAUUUAUCCCCGAGAGCAGCUGCGAGACUCAUUCGCGCCCUCCAACAACGAUUCGUACAAUUUCGUACGCGAACUAAAUUCAACCAGCCUGCCUUUAAGGGAACCUCCCACGCGCGCGGUUGAAUCGUCUCAGACCCCUCGUCAAUCAGAUAGUGUUCAACACAACCCAACAAUUCCCAACCACGAACUAGUACGUCCAACGCAGCAGCAGCUAGCAGCUAGGCAGUCCCUGGCUAAGGAACUCCCCCGAUUUUCUGGCGAUCCCGCGGAGUGGCCGAUAUUUAUCUCCAGCUACCGCUACACCACCGAAGCUUGCGGAUUCUCAGAUGGGGAGAAUAUGCUCCGUCUUCAGCGAUGUUUAUCGGGACCGGCGCUCGAAACAGUACGCAGCCGAUUAGUGUUACCUGCAGCUGUACCCCAAGUCAUCGAAACCCUCCGAAUGCGAUUCGGCAGACCGGAGUUGCUAAUUAAUGCUCUACUCCGGAAGGUUCGCGAGAUUCCGGCUCCAAGGUCCGACAAACUGGAAGGACUAAUCGACUUCGGCAUGGCAGUGCAAGCGUUGUGCGACCACAUUGAGGCUGCCAACGAACGUGCCCAUCUUUCCAACCCAUCGCUGCUUCAGGAAUUGGUGGCAAAGCUUCCCGCGGAUCAACGAAUGAUGUGGGCCGGAUAUAGACGGGGAUUUCAGCAAGUGGACCUCAAAACCUUCGGCGAUUACAUGGCGGCGGUGGUGCAGGAUGCCACAAGUGUGGUGACCUUCGAACCGGACGUGAAACGCAGCGGCGCCCGCGACCGUCCGAAGAACAAGGGAUUCGUCAACUCUCAUGCGAAGGAACCAUCGGAACCCGUGAAAUCAUCCCACGAGCCGAAAGACGAGUCGAAGCAGUUCAACUGUGCAUAUUGCAAAAGAGAAGGUCAUCGGGCUCGCGAAUGCCAUGCAUUCAGGUACCUACACGUCGACGAUCGCUGGAAGCAAGUACGGUCACUCGGCCUAUGCCAGAAUUGUCUUUAUAACCACGGAAGACGUGGGUGCCGAGGACGGAAAACCUGUGACAUUGACGGCUGCCAAUUUCGCCACCAUCCGCUCCUGCAUUCCUCCAAGGGUCCUCAACGAUCUUCUGAUGCGUUAGUUCAGGUGGCAGAGAAUCACACCCAUCGUCACCUUACUUCCGGAACCCUAUUCCGAAUUAUUCCGGUAACGUUGCACGGCAUGAGCAAGUCAAUCGAUACGUUCGCUUUCCUCGACGAAGGUUCGGAUCUAACCUUGGUGGAGAAUGAUCUGGUGGCCUCGCUAGGAAUAAAGGGGACGCAACUACCAUUAUGUCUCCGUUGGACCGGGAACACUUCAAGAGUGGAGAAGAAUUCGCAGCAGAUAACGAUCGAAAUCACUGGUCUCGGGCAGGAAAAACGGCAUAAACUGCUUAAUGCGAGAACCGUGACCAACCUUGGCCUACCCGGUCAAAGUUUCCAAGUGGAUGAGACUGCACAACAGCACAGACACCUGAAGGGAAUUCCUAUUACCAGUUAUCAAAAUGCGGUACCCAAAAUUCUGAUCGGGGUGGACAAUUUGCGACUAGCAUUACCGCUGAAAGUACGAGAAGGUGACGGAACAGCGCCAGUGGCAGUGAAAACCAGGCUGGGGUGGUGCGUCUACGGCCCGCGAGGAACCAGCAGACAGGAAUCGUAUAGCUUCCACGUGUGCGAAUGUUCCUGCGAUGAAGAACUCCACGAAGCGGUGAAGAAAUUCUACGCUGUCGAAGAAGCGGGUUCAACGCCAGCGCAAACCUCUCUGGCAAAGGAGGAUGAGAGAGCGCUAGCUAUCAUGGAAGCUACGACCCAGAGAGUGGGUGACCGGUUUGUGACCGGGCUUAUUUGGCGAGAAGAUGAAGUAGAGUUUCCGGACAGCUAUUUUAUGGCAGUGCGCCGACUGGAGUGCCUCGAACGAAGGAUGGACCGCGACCCUGGACUGAAAGAGAAUCUUCACCGGCAAAUCGGUGAAUACCAGAAGAAAGGCUAUGCGCACAAGCUCACAACUAAGGAGAUGGAAGCAGCAGAUCCGAAGCGAAUCUGGUAUCUCCCAGUCGGAGCGGUUAUGAAUCCCAAGAAACCGGGGAAAGUCCGAGUCAUCUGGGACGCUGCGGCCAAGGUGAACGGCGUAUCGUUAAACAGCAAGCUCCUCAAAGGCCCGGAUCAACUGACGUCUCUUCCGGCAAUACUUUUUCGCUUUCGGCUGUAUGGGGUGGCCGUUACUUCGGAUAUCCAAGAGAUGUUCCAUCAAAUCCGAAUUCGUAAAGAAGACAGGGACUCUCAACGUUUCCUAUGGCGUGCCAAGCCGACCGAUGCUCCCACGGUCUACGUGAUGGACGUAGCUACAUUUGGAAGCACUUGCUCACCGGCGUCAGCGCAAUUUAUCAAGAACCGGAAUGCGGAACUACACAGCGAGCUCUAUCCAGAGGCGGCAAAAGCGAUUGUCGACGACCACUACGUCGACGAUUAUUUGGCGAGUUUUAGUUCAUGGGAACAGGCAGCAAAGGUGGCGUGCGAUCUGCGGCUCGUGCAUGGCAACGGCGGAUUCAACUUGCACAACUGGCGGUCUAAUAGUGCCUCGGUUCUAGAAGCGCUGGGAGAGGCACCUCUUGCGUCGGUCAAGCAGAUAAGUUUGGCUGACGGCGUGAAAACCGAAAGAGUUCUCGGAAUGCUGUGGAGUCCAUCGAGCGACGAACUGAGCUUCUCUACCCAGAUGAGUGAAGAAGUCCAAUCCCUGAUCAAUACAGUCACGAGACCGACGAAAAGGCAAGUGUUGCGUUGCGUGAUGACCCUAUUCGACCCUUUAGGAUUGCUCUCGCCAUUCAUCAUUCACGGAAAGGUCUUGAUCCAGGACCUAUGGCGAGCAGGCACUUUGUGGGAUGAGCAAGUCAACGAAGAAAUCUACGCGAAGUGGCACAGAUGGGUGCAGAUGAUCGGUUACAUCGCGGAUAUACGAAUUCCGCGGUGCUACUUCCGAAACGCCGACCAGUACACGUACCAAAACUCAGAGCUCCACGUUUUUGUCGACGCAAGCGAGGUUGCGUACUCUUGCGCGAUUUAUCUACGCACUCAAAGUGAGGGUGGUGACUCACAAUGUUGUCUAAUCGCCGCUAAAUCGAAAGUCGCCCCGCUGAAGCCCUGGUCAAUUCCGAGACUCGAGCUGCAAAGCUGUGUCUUGGGAGUACGAUGGUCGAAAUUCGUCAAGUCAGAACUCAAUAUUCCCAUAUCUAAGAUGGUGUUCUGGUCAGAUUCCAGAACGGCUUUGGCCUGGAUCAAAUCCGACCCAAGGAAUUAUCGACAAUUCGUCUCGUUCAGAGUAGGAGAGAUUCUGGAGCAUACAACUUCGAACGAUUGGCGGUGGGUACCGUCGAAGGCCAAUCCGGCGGAUGAGGCUACCAAGUGGGGAAGCGGCCCGUAUUUCGAUAGAAAUAGCAAGUGGUUUCAAGGACCACAUUUUCUGCGACUUCCGGAGAACGAAUGGCCUCGUUCGAGCGAUCAAGUGUCUACUACCAGCGAAGAAAUGCGUGCAUCGAUUCUGUACCACUGUUCCUUCGAACCCCCGAUAGAUUUCGACAGAUUUUCAUCGUGGAAUCGAAUGCUGCGAGCGAUAGCAUACGUCUUGAGAUUCCUGAACAACUCGAAUAAGAAGCGAUCAUUGCGCACUGGGCAGCUAUCCCAAACAGAACUCCAUUUAGCGGAAGUAACACUCUUCAAAGCGGUGCAGCGUGAAACAUACCCUGACGAGAUCACGGCGUUAUGCAACAAGGCACCGAACGAGAGCGGGCAGGAGGUCAUAGGAAAACAUAGCUCGAUCUUCCAGCUGUUGCCGAUGCUGGACAACGGCGGUCUGCUGCGCGAGCGUGGACGGAUCGGGUCUGCUGAAGAUAUACCGUUUAAUGUACGCCAUCCGAUUAUCCUUCCUAGGAACCACCGAGCUACCGAGCUGCUGGUGUUAGAUUAUCACCAACGUUGCCAGCAUGGGAAUUCUGAGACAGUGGUGAAUGAGAUACGCCAAUUCUACAACAUCCCAAGACUGCGAUCGGUGGUAAAGAAAAUUUGUCGGGACUGCGCACUGUGUAAAGUUCGCCGAGCCAGGCCAGCUAUUCCACCGAUGGCGCCACUUCCUGCGGCGCGACUUGCCCACCAUGAACGAGCGUUUACCUACACCGGUGUGGAUUAUUUCGGCCCGCUGGUAGUCAAGCUGGGAAGAUCCAAUGUGAAGCGGUGGAUUGCAUUAUUCACUUGCCUAACAGUACGUGCUGUUCACUUGGAAGUAGCGUAUACAUUAUCAACCGAGUCCUGCAUAUCCUGCGUUCGCCGAUUCGUUGGCCGCCGAGGACCGCCCGCCGAGUUCUUCAGCGACAACGGGACAAAUUUCCAAGGGGCGGAUCGAGUGCUGCGACAUCAAAUUAGUCAGGGACUGUCUACAACGUUCACCGGUACCAACACCAAAUGGAACUUUAUUCCGCCAGGAGCACCCCACAUGGGCGGAGCGUGGGAGCGCUUAGUUCAGUCGGUGAAGGCAGCCAUGCAAGAAGCAUAUUCGGAGGGAAAGCUCAACGACGAGGGGCUGCAGACGCUGGUCGUGGAGGCUGAAAGAUUGGUUAACUCAAGGCCUCUGACGUAUUUGCCACUAGAAGCUGAGGAAUCAGAGGCGAUCACGCCCAAUCACUUUUUGCUGCUUAGCUCUAACGGAUUGAAACCUCAUAGUGGGGAAAACGAUGCUUCAGAACACGGACACUAUCCCGAGUUGGUCCGUCGGGAAAUACUUGGAAGAACAUGGGAGCUGAUUCAACGCCAGCUGGAUGUAUUCUGGAAGCGCUGGUUGGUUGAAUACCUGCCGGUAAUUCGUCGGCAUCCAAAGUGGUUCGAGGAAACUCGAAUGCUACGAGCAGGAGACUUGGUCAUGGUAGCUGAGCCGACAAAGCGAAAUGGAUGGGAGCGUGGACGGGUCGUCCGUACUGUCCCAAGUCCGGACGGCCGACAUCGACGAGCGUUUGUGCAGAUAGGGAGGAAAACUCUGCUGAGACCGGUGUCACGGUUAGCCCUCCUCGACCUGAGAAGUAGCAGUGAAGCUCCGGACAUUCCCGGACUACACCCGGGGGAGACUGUCGAUGCAGGAAAGGACGACCUGGUAACCCUAUACACCGAUGAAGGGGCAACGGACGUCAAUGGGGUCAGAUGUCUACGUUGACGUCUGUCAUAGUAGAAGAUCAUUUCCGCUGAACACGUUGCUCAUUCUUAUCGAACCAUUGUGAAAGGUAGACCAUAAGUGCACACUGAAGAUACCGAUAUCGAAGUAAAAUCUAUUGAAUUUGUGACAAAGUUAAUACUCAAAAGGUAGUGAAAAAUUAUCAUUUUAAUGUCCAUUUCUAAUAAUUUGUGAAUUCGUAGAGUGUAGUUGGGGAAAGUUAUACAUCCAGUAGCUGAAUUGCAGUUCUUAGUUCCAGAAAUUGAGGUUGGUGAAGGUUAGGUUUGGCCAGUUAAUAGUUGUAAAACCCGAUUAAAUCCGUAGCUCGCGUCCCAGUGAAGUGGCCCAAUCCGUCCGUUGUCGAAGUAGCUGAAAAGAGAAGAUACCUGAAAAGAAACCUGAAAAGAAAAUAUUCUGCAGUUUUCGGUGCUGGGAAUCGACACGUGGGGUGAGCGAGCUAAGGCCCACCGAAUUGUAAGCCAUUACAAGAUAUUCAUUUGUAUUUGGGAUUAAGUGUACUUACCAUUUUGUUUAAUUUUUAGUUGAAGCUUACAUAAUACAUAGUUCGCUGUCAAAACGGAACGCUUUUUCUUCGCACCCCGCCCCC
This is an RNA transcript of Aedes albopictus (Asian tiger mosquito), 7714 nucleotides long. RefSeq lists it as uncharacterized. Lineage: Eukaryota; Metazoa; Arthropoda; Insecta; Diptera; Culicidae. The record is from RefSeq and is a predicted model, not a curated record. The transcript is spliced from 2 exons.